AUACGGAGGAUCCGAGCGUUAUCCGGAUUUAUUGGGUUUAAAGGGAGCGUAGGCGGACGCUUAAGUCAGUUGUGAAAGUUUGCGGCUCAACCGUAAAAUUGCAGUUGAUACUGGGUGUCUUGAGUACAGUAGAGGCAGGCGGAAUUCGUGGUGUAGCGGUGAAAUGCUUAGAUAUCACGAAGAACUCCGAUUGCGAAGGCAGCCUGCUGGACUGUAACUGACGCUGAUGCUCGAAAGUGUGGGUAUCAAACAGGAUUAGAUACCCUGGUAGUCCACACAGUAAACGAUGAAUACUCGCUGUUUGCGAUAUACAAUAAGCGGCCAAGCGAAAGCGUUAAGUAUUCCACCUGGGGAGUACGCCGGCAACGGUGAAACUCAAAUGAAUUGACGGGG
This 393-nucleotide ribosomal RNA is filed under the name uncultured bacterium. Its description in RNAcentral is "partial 16S ribosomal RNA". It matches the Rfam family "Bacterial small subunit ribosomal RNA", at positions 523 to 918 of the family's 1533-position model. The record is from RNAcentral.